Molecule: long non-coding RNA, 247 nt
Filed under: Carica papaya (papaya)
Lineage: Eukaryota; Viridiplantae; Streptophyta; Magnoliopsida; Brassicales; Caricaceae
Description: long non-coding RNA (CPAP_LNC012474)
Source: RNAcentral
UACAGUUUUAAAUGCAGUAUGAGGUUUGAUGUUUUCAUUUUAUAGUUUCGUGUGCAUAUUUUACUAUUUUACUGAUUAUGGAUUGAAUGACUGGGAUAUUGAUGCUGUAUGUUAUCUGUUUGGCAUAAAUUACCGUUUGCUUGUUUGUAUGUGGAUUGAUGAUGCUGACUGAGGGAAAAGAGAAUGAAAGAUUAUGUAAAUGGGUAAUUGUAUAAUGUGGUCAGCCUGACUAGAUAUCCUGAGAGAU